Molecule: non-coding RNA, 31 nt
Filed under: Mus musculus (house mouse)
Lineage: Eukaryota; Metazoa; Chordata; Mammalia; Rodentia; Muridae
Source: RNAcentral
UGCAUGUGACAAGACCCCACCAUUAUUGGUA